Molecule: long non-coding RNA, 299 nt
Filed under: Panax ginseng (ginseng)
Lineage: Eukaryota; Viridiplantae; Streptophyta; Magnoliopsida; Apiales; Araliaceae
Description: long non-coding RNA (PGIN_LNC008590)
Source: RNAcentral
CUUGAACCAUAUGAAUGCAGCUAAAACCGAACGUACCGAUGGAUCCGACAAGGAUAAAGGGAAGGCGAAGGCGAACCCGUAGAUUACAUUUGUAAUAGUAUAUGUUUUGUAAGGAAUAAUAGUGAUAUUAUGACAAAGACAAUAUAUUGGUUGUACAUAACUCUUUUGAUAUAUAUAUAAGACAUAUUCCCAAAUUUAGGAACGUCACACCCUAGGCCAAGCCCAAUGCAAGAGCAGUCCUAGUUAUUCAAUUUGACUUGCAAGUUUUACUACAAAAAAUUAUUACUUGAUCUCUCCCC